CGCGCAAAUUACCCAAUUCUAACAGUUUGAGAGAGGUAGUAACAAGAAAUAACAAUACAAGGCAAUUAAAAUGCUUUGUAAUUGGAAUGAUAGAAAUUUAAACCCUUUUUAAAGUAUCAAUUGGAGGGCAAGUCUGGUGCCAGCAGCCGCGGUAAUUCCAGCUCCAAUGGCGUAUAUUAAAAUUGUUGCAGUUAAAAAGCUCGUAGUUGAAGUUCUGCUAAAAGUAACCGGUCUG
RNAcentral lists this ribosomal RNA (235 nucleotides) under Hepatozoon canis. Its description in RNAcentral is "partial 18S ribosomal RNA". It matches the Rfam family "Eukaryotic small subunit ribosomal RNA", at positions 433 to 662 of the family's 1831-position model. The record is from RNAcentral. Lineage: Eukaryota; Apicomplexa; Hepatozoidae.